CUCUUAAACCAACCUAUGGCGGUCACAAGUCCGCAUAUGAAAUGGCGAGUGAGAA
Molecule: non-coding RNA, 55 nt
Filed under: unclassified sequences
Source: RNAcentral